Long non-coding RNA from Alnus glutinosa, 795 nucleotides. RefSeq lists it as uncharacterized. The transcript has 3 exons. The record is from RefSeq and is a predicted model, not a curated record. Lineage: Eukaryota; Viridiplantae; Streptophyta; Magnoliopsida; Fagales; Betulaceae.
UCCAAUUCUAAUUUCAAUAAUCCAACACCCAAACAGAAAACAGACCAUAACGCCACUCUCUUCCUUUUCCUUUUCCUUUUCUUUCUUCUUUCUUCCCCUCCUCUUCUCUUCUACCCCGCACGCACACUACUGCCUUUCCUUCCCCUGUUUUCCUUCCCUUCUCUUCAUCUUUCUCCAUCUCUUCCUCUCACAGUCACGCACGCCACCCAGCCCACUUCCCCUCUUCUUUUCCCUUCUUCCCUUUUCUUUCCCCUCUACGUCUAGGACACACCGGAAACACAAAGAGACAGCCGUGAGAGGAGAAGAUGGAACCGAUCAAUGGGGUUUUCUGCUUUGGAUGUCAAGAAGGAUCGUGUCCGGAUUGGAGACUUUAAUUAGUUCUCCAAUGUAGAGUUCGAGUAACUAGAAUCCAAUGGAAUAUUCGAGUUAAGAGUCCAAUGCAACCAAGAUGAUGUUCAUUUGGCUGCAGGUACUCCGGUCGUAGUUGAUGGUGUUGUAGAAGUGUACUUGAGAUAUUAUGACUGAAGCUCGCCGCAAUGGUUAUAAUUGUCGAACCAUGGGUGUCCACUGUUUUAAAGGUUUGGAUUUAUGGCUUGGGUCGUCUGUGACACUUAUAAGGUCGAGCCAUUAUUGUUAUGUUUUAUGUUGUGUUGAUAAGAUUUAAACAGAUAGAUGUCAAAUGGCUUCUUGUUGUAAUUAUUUGUGAUAGAUGUAUAAGUUGUGAUUUUCACUAUUCAGGUUUAUGUUUUCCGCUACAUAGUCAGAUAUAUGUUAUACUCUGUUUUACCAGAUACA